AGAUUUUUAAAAUUCUUAUUUUAAAAAGCCGAAGGCUUACCGCCUUUUAAGGGUGAGAGAUUUGAAGAAACGAAAGUGCAGACAGCGCUCCAAAUAGUAUUAACCCUGAGAGGUCCCUGGGGAAUUGGGCGGGGGGCGACGAUAACGGUUUUCGGGACUUUGACGCUCUCGUGAUGCUCCGAUCACGACGCGACUUACCUCAUUCGACGUAGAAUUACUUUUUACAUAUAUUAUGACUUAAUUUUACAACAAUUAACAAAAUUAACGGGAGAUUGGAAGCAAAAAAGGAGAAAAAAAGGGGAAACUUCUAAAAUAUAGGAAAAAAAUGUCUUCUAAAAUUAGAGGAUGCAACCACCUCUAAAUGAAAGAAGAACUUUUCAUCUAACGGAAAAGACUAAAUUUGCAUUAUUGUUUUCCUUGUUCGCGAGAUAUCUGCGAAAGAAAAAGACACCCAGAUUGACUUUGAGUUGAUUGUUUGUUGACUAGCAGACGACGGUAAUUUGCAACAGCCAGUCAGCCAGUCUGCUUGUGGGCUGUGGCAUGGCCUACUGUGGGAUUAUAAUAAGGAAAGAAAAACAUGCCUCUUGUGUCACAACUGACUGUUCCUUUACCUAUCAAAUCUGUACCAAAUUUGGCAGAUAGGUCACAUGUAUAGGUGCUGAAUCAACUGGAAAACGUAAAAAAAAUGGAAUUUAAAAUUACAUUUAUCAUCAGACAUACCUCCAUUUCAGUUUUUAUUUGUCGGAAAGAUGACAAGUUGGAAAUUGAUCUACAUGUCACCCUAAAUGAUAUCAUAGCAUACAAUACUUUUUUCGGGAUGCAAAACGAAUUUCCCUCAUUUAAAAGGCAUGUAUGAUUUCAGGGUUGAAAUUUUGUAACGAAGAAAAAUGUAAGCUGCAGCUGUGUAAAAUGGAAUUGACAGAUUACAUUCAUCAUCAGACAUCUUUCAGUUUCAGAAAGCUAUGCAUUGAAGAUGACAAGUUGACAAUUGAUUUACAUGGUACCCUAAGUGAUAUCCUAGAAUACCAUAUUUAUUUGGCCUUCAAAACAAGCUUUCCCCUCAGGCCUCAAUUAUAGCGAAGUACUGAUGGACCAUGACAGUAUAUACUUUGACUGCCAAGACUCCUAAUCAAGAAUCCAUGGCUAUAGAGAAUUUCGCUGCCCACGCUAUUCUCCAGCUACUCGUCGUGAUUGCCAACAAUUAGGGUUAGGAUUCAGCCCAACUUGUGUCGUCAUAGCUUCGAGCUGAACAUUAAGAAGGAAAAGCCACCUUUGGUCUAAUUCAUCGAUGUUGUAUGUAGAAUUCAAUAAUAUGUUCAUUGUUUUUAAAUAGAUAUGAACCCUGGCAAAAUCAAUUAGAUGCAGCAGUUGGGAGUCACAAAAUCCUUUUUUGUCAAGCGUCAUGUGCUAGUUUAAUAGGUUUACCAAUACAAGAUUUUUGAAACGGG
Molecule: long non-coding RNA, 1448 nt
Filed under: Daphnia pulicaria
Lineage: Eukaryota; Metazoa; Arthropoda; Branchiopoda; Diplostraca; Daphniidae
Description: uncharacterized LOC124321268, transcript variant X1
Source: RNAcentral